This is a long non-coding RNA of Orcinus orca (killer whale), 152 nucleotides long. RefSeq lists it as uncharacterized. Lineage: Eukaryota; Metazoa; Chordata; Mammalia; Artiodactyla; Delphinidae. The transcript has 3 exons. The record is from RefSeq and is a predicted model, not a curated record.
GGGAGAUUUCCCUCUUUUGAACUGCUCCAGGUGCCUGUUAAAAUGAGAAUACCCUCAGGAGAGAAAACAAGCAGAAGGAUUAGCCCCCAGAAACUAUUUUGCUUUCAUUAGAUUCUCAGAAUGUGUCUGGGGCUCUAAAGAGAAUGAGAAGA